RNAcentral lists this ribosomal RNA (466 nucleotides) under Burkholderia cenocepacia. RNAcentral describes it as "bacterial SSU rRNA". It matches the Rfam family "Bacterial small subunit ribosomal RNA", at positions 56 to 516 of the family's 1533-position model. The record is from RNAcentral. Lineage: Bacteria; Pseudomonadati; Pseudomonadota; Betaproteobacteria; Burkholderiales; Burkholderiaceae.
UGCAGUCGAACGGCAGCACGGGUGCUUGCACCUGGUGGCGAGUGGCGAACGGGUGAGUAAUACAUCGGAACAUGUCCUGUAGUGGGGGAUAGCCCGGCGAAAGCCGGAUUAAUACCGCAUACGAUCCAUGGAUGAAAGCGGGGGACCUUCGGGCCUCGCGCUAUAGGGUUGGCCGAUGGCUGAUUAGCUAGUUGGUGGGGUAAAGGCCUACCAAGGCGACGAUCAGUAGCUGGUCUGAGAGGACGACCAGCCACACUGGGACUGAGACACGGCCCAGACUCCUACGGGAGGCAGCAGUGGGGAAUUUUGGACAAUGGGCGAAAGCCUGAUCCAGCAAUGCCGCGUGUGUGAAGAAGGCCUUCGGGUUGUAAAGCACUUUUGUCCGGAAAGAAAUCCUUGGCUCUAAUACAGUCGGGGGAUGACGGUACCGGAAGAAUAAGCACCGGCUAACUACGUGCCAGCAGCC